Molecule: ribosomal RNA, 696 nt
Filed under: uncultured bacterium
Lineage: Bacteria
Description: bacterial SSU rRNA
Rfam family: Bacterial small subunit ribosomal RNA
Source: RNAcentral
GAAAGCGUGGGUAGCGANCAGGAUUAGAUACCCUGGUAGUNCACGCCGUAAACGAUGAGUGCUAGGUGUUAGGCCCUCUCCGGGGCUUAGUGCCGGAGCUAACGCAAUAAGCACUCCGCCUGGGGAGUACGACCGCAAGGUUGAAACUCAAAGGAAUUGACGGGGGCCCGCACAAGCGGUGGAGCAUGUGGUUUAAUUCGAAGCAACGCGAAGAACCUUACCAGGUCUUGACAUCCCGAUGCUAUUCUUAGAGAUAGGAAGUUACUUCGGUACAUCGGAGACAGGUGGUGCAUGGUUGUCGUCAGCUCGUGUCGUGAGAUGUUGGGUUAAGUCCCGCAACGAGCGCAACCCUUAUUGUUAGUUGCCAUCAUUAAGUUGGGCACUCUAGCGAGACUGCCGGUAAUAAACCGGAGGAAGGUGGGGAUGACGUCAAAUCAUCAUGCCCCUUAUGACCUGGGCUACACACGUGCUACAAUGGUCGGUACAAUGAGUUGCGAGCCGGUGACGGCAAGCUGAUCUCUGAAAGCCGAUCUCAGUUCGGAUUGGAGGCUGCAACUCGCCUCCAUGAAGUCGGAAUCGCUAGUAAACGCGGAUCAGCACGCCGCGGUGAAUACGUUCCCGGGCCUUGUACACACCGCCCGUCACACCACGAGAGUUUGUAACACCCGAAGUCGGUGAGGUAACCUUUUAGGGGCC